UUGAUUCUCACUGCCUCUGAGACCCAGGCCUGGAUCUUCAUGACAAAGUCUGCCUUUUUGCUGAAGCUAGAGGAAAUGAGUGUGUGUGAAAGGAGUCCUGACUACAAGGGUCUAUGUCAUCAGGAAGCGGCAGUCCAGAGCCCAAAGUAGACAUCAUCGCACCAAGGCACUCAGGUCCAUCACUGCAGGACAGCGAACAGUGGCCCAAAAGCUUGGGCCCCUGCCACCCAUGUGGGAAAACGGAAAGAAGCUCCUGGCCGCCCAUGUGGGAAACUUGGAAAAAGCUCCUGGCUUUAGUCUAGUUCUUUCCUGGCUGUUGCAGCUAUCUAGGGAGGAAUCCAGAGGAUGGAAGAUCUCUUUCUCUCUCCGUUUCUACCUUGCUUUUUGUUACUAGGAUUUUAAAAUAAAGAAAUAAAUUUUUGGGA
Ochotona princeps (American pika) is the source of this 425-nucleotide long non-coding RNA. RefSeq lists it as uncharacterized. NCBI's taxonomy places the organism in Eukaryota, Metazoa, Chordata, Mammalia, Lagomorpha, Ochotonidae. The transcript has 3 exons. The record is from RefSeq and is a predicted model, not a curated record.